GACGAACGCUGGCGGCGCGCUUAACACAUGCAAGUCGAGCGAGAACCAGCCCUUCGGGGCUGGGGAAAGCGGCGAACGGGUGAGUAACACGUGGGUAAUCUGCCCUCGGCACCGGAAUAGCCCGGGGAAACCCGGAUUAAUGCCGGAUCGCCUCUCCAGCCCUCGGGCUGGUGAGAAGAGGUAGCUUCGGCCUCUUGCCGCGGAGGAGCCCGCGGCGGAUUAGCUUGUGGGUGGGGUAAGGGCCACCCAAGGCGACGAUCCGUAGCUGGUCUGAGAGGACGAUCAGCCACACUGGGACUGAGACACGGCCCAGACUCCUACGGGAGGCAGCAGUGGGGAAUCUUGCGCAAUGGGCGAAAGCCUGACGCAGCGACGCCGCGUGCGGGAAGAGGGCCUUCGGGUUGUAAACCGCUUUCAGGAGGGACGAAGCCACUCGGGUUAAUAGCCCAGAAGGUGACGGUACCUCCAGAAGAAGCCCCGGCUAACUACGUGCCAGCCGCCGCCGUAA
Molecule: ribosomal RNA, 508 nt
Filed under: uncultured bacterium
Lineage: Bacteria
Description: partial 16S ribosomal RNA
Rfam family: Bacterial small subunit ribosomal RNA
Source: RNAcentral